Molecule: small nucleolar RNA, 80 nt
Organism: Choloepus didactylus (southern two-toed sloth)
Lineage: Eukaryota; Metazoa; Chordata; Mammalia; Pilosa; Megalonychidae
Product: small nucleolar RNA SNORD115
Exons: 1
Source: RefSeq, a predicted model, not a curated record
GAAUGAAUGAUAAAAAUUUAUCUUGCUUGAGGAAAUGUGAUGACAUAAAAAUCAUUCUCAUUAGGAUUAUGCUAAGGUGC